RNAcentral lists this non-coding RNA (951 nucleotides) under Benthomangelia sp. JEU-2016. RNAcentral's name for it is "12S ribosomal RNA". The stretch from base 248 to 951 matches the Rfam family "Microsporidia small subunit ribosomal RNA". Lineage: Eukaryota; Metazoa; Mollusca; Gastropoda; Neogastropoda; Conidae. The record is from RNAcentral.
UACAUUUGUAUAAUUAUACAUGCAUCUGAUAAUAAUAUUUUUAAUUUUUUAUUAGUAAUCAAAUACUUUAAUAUAAAAGUAUAAAAACUUGGCUCUGAUUUUGAAUAUAGCAAAUAUUAAGAAAUACACAUGGUUUUUGUAGAAAUAGGCAAGGUAAAGAAUAAUUUUAUGUAAUAAAAAAUUUAUAUACAUAUAUAUUUCUUUAUAACAUUAUAGAUAUAUAAAAUGUUUUGAUAUGUCCUGCUAACACCAGUGUCAGAGAUUGUUAUAUAGGCAAAAGCCUGCAACAACUUAGUAAAUUAGGCUUGGUUAAUUUGGUGCCAGCAUCCGCGGUUAUACCAAAAAGCUAAGUUAUAUUUUAUGGUAAAAAGAUAGUUAGAUAAAUUAUUAAGUUAUAUAUUAUUUAUAUAGAAGUAAAAUUUGAAUAUAAAUGUUAUUAUUUGAUAAACUGAAUAAAUUGAACCUAUGACAUCUUUGAAAGAAACUGGGAUUGGAUACCCCAUUAUUCUUAGUUGUAAAUUUAAUUAAUAUUUACCUGAGUACUACGAAUAGUAUAAUUUAAAACUCAAAGAGCUUGGCGGUGUUUUAGACCACUUAGGGGAACCUGUCUCGUAAUCGACAAUCCACGUUAGACCUAACCUUUUUUUGCUUUCAGCUUGUAUACCAUUGUCGUCAGGUAACUUUUAAAAAAAUUAAAGCUAGCUAGAUAAUUUUAAAUUAAAACGUCAAAUCAAGGUGCAGCUUAUAAAAAGGUGUAGAUGGGUUACAAUUAUAAAUUUAUAAUUACGGACAAUUAAAAGAAAUUUUAGAUAGAAGGAGGACUUAAAAGUAAUAUAAUAUAUAUAAAUUAUUUGAAUAAGGCUCUGAAACGCGCACACAUCGCCCGUCGCUCUCGUUGAAAAAUGAGAUAAGUCGUAACAUAGUAGAGGUAAUGGAAAUUGUUUCUGAAUU